This 253-nucleotide ribosomal RNA is filed under the name uncultured bacterium. RNAcentral's name for it is "partial 16S ribosomal RNA". It matches the Rfam family "Bacterial small subunit ribosomal RNA", at positions 524 to 776 of the family's 1533-position model. The record is from RNAcentral.
UACGAACCGUGCGAACGUUGUUCGGAAUCACUGGGCUUAAAGGGCGCGUAGGCAGCCGGGUUGGUCGUGGGUGAAAUCCCCCAGCUUAACUGGGGAACUGCCUACGAUACUGCCUGGCUCGAGGGAGGAAGGGGCGGUCGGAACUGUCGGUGGAGCGGUGAAAUGCGUUGAUAUCGACAGGAACGCCGGUGGCGAAAGCGGACCGCUGGCCCUCUUCUGACGCUGAGGCGCGAAAGCCAGGGGAGCGAACGGG